ACACGACUACAUUAGAUACCCGUGUAGUCCUAGCCGUAAACGAUACUCGCUAGGUGUCGGCCACGGUGCGACCGUUGUCGGUGCCGUAGGGAAGCCGUGAAGCGAGCCACCUGGGAAGUACGGCCGCAAGGCUGAAACUUAAAGGAAUUGGCGGGGGAGCACCGCAACGGGAGGAGCGUGCGGUUCAAUUGGAUUCAACGCCGGACAACUCACCAGGAGCGAAGGUUACAUGAAGGCCAGGCUGAUGACCUUGCCUGAUUUUCCG
This 265-nucleotide ribosomal RNA is filed under the name uncultured archaeon. Its description in RNAcentral is "partial 16S ribosomal RNA". It matches the Rfam family "Archaeal small subunit ribosomal RNA", at positions 719 to 982 of the family's 1478-position model. The record is from RNAcentral.